RNAcentral lists this ribosomal RNA (1064 nucleotides) under uncultured cyanobacterium. Its description in RNAcentral is "bacterial SSU rRNA". It matches the Rfam family "Bacterial small subunit ribosomal RNA", at positions 474 to 1533 of the family's 1533-position model. Lineage: Bacteria; Bacillati; Cyanobacteriota. The record is from RNAcentral.
GGUACCUGAAGAAAAAGCAUCGGCUAACUCCGUGCCAGCAGCCGCGGUAAUACGGAGGAUGCAAGCGUUAUCCGGAAUCAUUGGGCGUAAAGGGUCCGCAGGUGGCGAAUAAAGUCUGCUGUUAAAGACCGGGGCUUAACUCCGGAAAGGCAGUGGAAACUGAUUAGCUAGAGUACGGUAGGGGUAGAGGGAAUUCCCAGUGUAGCGGUGAAAUGCGUAGAUAUUGGGAAGAACACCGGUGGCGAAAGCGCUCUACUAGGCCGAAACUGACACUGAGGGACGAAAGCUAGGGUAGCGAAAGGGAUUAGAUACCCCUGUAGUCUUAGCGGUAAACGAUGGAUACUAGGUGUAGCUUGUAUCAACCCGAGCUGUGCCGAAGCUAACGCGAUAAGUAUCCCGCCUGGGGAGUACGCACGCAAGUGUGAAACUCAAAGGAAUUGACGGGGGCCCGCACAGGCGGUGGAGUAUGUGGUUUAAUUCGAUGCAACGCGAAGAACCUUACCAGGGCUUGACAUGUCGCGAAUCUAGCGGAAACGUUAGAGUGCCUUAGGGAAUGCGAACACAGGUGGUGCAUGGCUGUCGUCAGCUCGUGUCGUGAGAUGUUGGGUUAAGUCCCGCAACGAGCGCAACCCUCGUCCUUAGUUGCCAAUAUUAAGUUAGGCACUCUAGGGAGACUGCCGGGGACAACUCGGAGGAAGGUGGGGAUGACGUCAAGUCAGCAUGCCCCUUACGUCCUGGGCUACACACGUACUACAAUGGUUGGGACAAAGGGCAGCAAGCUCGCGAGAGUAAGCGAAUCUCAUCAAACCCAGCCACAGUUCAGAUUGCAGGCUGCAACUCGCCUGCAUGAAGUAGGAAUCGCUAGUAAUCGCAGGUCAGCAUACUGCGGUGAAUUCGUUCCCGGGCCUUGUACACACCGCCCGUCACACCAUGGAAGCUGGCUACGCCCGAAGUCGUUACCCUAACCCGGUUUUGGGAGGGGGAUGCCGAAGGUAGAGCUAGUGACUGGGGUGAAGUCGUAACAAGGUAGCCGUACCGGAAGGUGUGGCUGGAUCACCUCCUUU